UGAGCGGAUCCUCACACGACUGUAAUCCGAUUCUUUCCAGCGGCUUCUGCAACCAAGCGGGUCUUACCCCCGGUCCUCCGCAUCUCCAGUCCUCGCACCUGGAACCCCAAAGUCUCCGAGAGUCCCCGAAUCCCCGCUCCCAGGCUACCUAAGAGGAUGAGCGGUGCUCCGACGGCCGGGGCAGCCCUGAUGCUCUGCGCCGCCACCGCCGUGCUACUGAGCGCUCAGGGCGGCCCCGUGCAGUCCAAGUCGCCGCGCUUUGCGUCCUGGGACGAGAUGAAUGUCCUGGCGCACGGACUCCUGCAGCUCGGCCAGGGGCUGCGCGAACACGCGGAGCGCACCCGCAGUCAGCUGAGCGCGCUGGAGCGGCGCCUGAGCGCGUGCGGGUCCGCCUGUCAGGGAACCGAGGGGUCCACCGACCUCCCGUUAGCCCCUGAGAGCCGGGUGGACCCUGAGGUCCUUCACAGCCUGCAGACACAACUCAAGGCUCAGAACAGCAGGAUCCAGCAACUCUUCCACAAGGUGGCCCAGCAGCAGCGGCACCUGGAGAAGCAGCACCUGCGAAUUCAGCAUCUGCAAAGCCAGUUUGGCCUCCUGGACCACAAGCACCUAGACCAUGAGGUGGCCAAGCCUGCCCGAAGAAAGAGGCUGCCCGAGAUGGCCCAGCCAGUUGACCCGGCUCACAAUGUCAGCCGCCUGCACCAUGGAGGCUGGACAGUAAUUCAGAGGCGCCACGAUGGCUCAGUGGACUUCAAUCGGCCCUGGGAAGCCUACAAGGCGGGGUUUGGGGAUCCCCACGGUAGGUGUUUCUUGUGGGGACAGAGGCAGGGGAGGAAGAGGGACCCUCAGAAGUGGCCCUGCCUCACGGAGUGGCCUCUCCCACUCCAGGCGAGUUCUGGCUGGGUCUGG
This 909-nucleotide small RNA is filed under the name Pan troglodytes (chimpanzee). RNAcentral's name for it is "retained intron". Lineage: Eukaryota; Metazoa; Chordata; Mammalia; Primates; Hominidae. The record is from RNAcentral.